AUAAUGUGGAAAACAAAUACCUAACACUCUAAUCAAUACUCUAUAAUGAGCAGCAGGAAGCUGCAGUGAAAGAGGGAAUGCCCAGAGUGAUUAGGUUCUAGCAGAAAAUCCUGGGAGUUAGAACAUCAGACUGUAGUCAGGCAGGUCCCAAGUGGCCUGUCAAAGCAGAAAAAGUGCCAGGCAGGAAGGCCUGAGAGAAGGAAGAGAAACUUUGAUUUGUAUGGGCUUUUGGAUGGAAAGAGAAGAAACUGCAUGUGGUGUGACCUUAGGCAGGGGAGACGUGGGAGAUAGCUAGCUUCGUUACAAUAGGGAGUAUUAUUAGCUCAAUUUUACAGAUGGGGAAACCAAAGCACAGAGAGAUUAAGUUCAUAACUUGCCAGCAAAAUGUGGAUGCUUCUGUCCUAGAUUGUUCUUCAAUGUGCAAGCUACUUGGAGCCCCUAUGUUGCUGCCCCCACCCCCAUUCUAAGGAAGUGGAAGAAGGCCAGAGCCCUCCGAAUGUCCAGAGUAUGCAGGCUGGCAUCCUUCUGUGAAGCGUGCAGUUUUGGGGAAAAGAUUCUCCGAGGAGAGGAACUCGCUCCAUCUGCAACUGAGGAUAGCAAUGAAGGAACUGGAGGGAGCCAGACUGCGCACGUGAAGAGAAAGGCGUGAAUGGCACAAGGCA
Long non-coding RNA from Pelodiscus sinensis (Chinese soft-shelled turtle), 662 nucleotides. RefSeq lists it as uncharacterized. The record is from RefSeq and is a predicted model, not a curated record. Lineage: Eukaryota; Metazoa; Chordata; Testudines; Trionychidae.